GGAGGUGGACAGAGGAUCGCCGGCGGGCCAUUCCGGCCCACGGGAGGAAAGUCCGGGCUCCGCAGGGCGGGGAGGUCGGUAACGCCGACCCGGGGCAACCCGAGGGAAAGCGUCACAGAAAACACACCGCCGAUGGCCCGCGAUCCCGGAGACCCUGAGAGGGGGCCUCCGGGGGAGGCACAGGCAAGGGUGAAAACGUGGGGUAAGAGCCCACGCGCGACUGCCGGGUGACCGGCGGCGAGGCAAGCCCCUCCCGGAGCAAACUCGAAUAGGAGGGCUGUUGAGGGUGGCCCGCCCGAAGCGCCAGGUCCGCAAGGAGGUGGCGCCAGCUCUCGGGUUGAGCGCUCGAGCGCCGCGGCAACGCGGCGCCUAGAUGAAUGAUCCUCGCCGCCGCCCGGGCAACCGGGCGACGGAACAGAACCCGGCUUAUCGUCCAUUUCGGGGC
RNAcentral lists this RNase P RNA (445 nucleotides) under Pseudomonadota bacterium. RNAcentral's name for it is "Proteobacteria bacterium RNase P RNA component class A". It matches the Rfam family "Bacterial RNase P class A". From Rfam's summary of the family: Ribonuclease P (RNase P) is a ubiquitous endoribonuclease, found in archaea, bacteria and eukarya as well as chloroplasts and mitochondria. Its best characterised activity is the generation of mature 5'-ends of tRNAs by cleaving the 5'-leader elements of precursor-tRNAs. Cellular RNase Ps are ribonucleoproteins. Lineage: Bacteria; Pseudomonadati; Pseudomonadota. The record is from RNAcentral.